ACGGCUCAGUAACACGUGGACAACCUGCCCAAAGGCCCGGGAUAACCCCGGGAAACUGGGGAUAAUACCGGAUAAAUCACGAGUACUGGAAGGUUUUGUGGUUGAAACUUCCGGGGCCUUUGGAUGGGUCUGCGGCGGAUUAGGUUGUUGCCGGUGUAACGUACCGUCAAGCCUGUAAUCCGUACGGGUUGUGGGAGCAAGAGCCCGGAGAUGGAUUCUGAGACACGAAUCCAGGCCCUACGGGGCGCAGCAGGCGCGAAAACUCUACAAUGCAGGCAACUGCGAUAGGGGAACAUCGAGUGAUACUCAUUUUGGGUGUCUGUCCCACCGUCUAAAAAACGGUGGUUAGCAAGGGCCGGGCAAGACCGGUGCCAGCCGCCGCGGUAAUACCGGCGGCUCGAGUGGUGGCCGAUAUUAUUGAGUCUAAAGGGUCCGUAGCCGGCUUUGCAAGUCUUUUGGGAAAUCCAGCGGCUUAACCGUUGGUCGUCCGGGAGAUACUACAUUGCUUGGGACUGGGAGAGGUAAGAGGUACUCAGGGGGUAGGAGUGAAAUCCUGUAAUCCUUUGGGGACCACCGGUGGCGAAGGCGUCUUACCAGAACAGGUCCGACGGUGAGGGACGAAAGCUAGGGGCACGAACCGGAUUAGAUACUCGGGUAGUCCUAGCCGUAAACGAUGCUCGCUAGGUGUCACAACAAUCGUGAAUUGUUGUGGUGCCGUAGGGAAGCCGUGAAGCGAGCCACUUGGGAAGUACGACCGCAAGGUUGAAACUUAAAGGAAUUGGCGGGGGAGCAC
RNAcentral lists this ribosomal RNA (793 nucleotides) under uncultured archaeon. RNAcentral describes it as "bacterial SSU rRNA". It matches the Rfam family "Archaeal small subunit ribosomal RNA", at positions 85 to 879 of the family's 1478-position model. The record is from RNAcentral.